Molecule: long non-coding RNA, 779 nt
Organism: Labrus mixtus (cuckoo wrasse)
Lineage: Eukaryota; Metazoa; Chordata; Actinopteri; Labriformes; Labridae
Exons: 2
Source: RefSeq, a predicted model, not a curated record
CACACAGCUGCAGCAGCACUGAUGGUCGUAUCAAAGAGGUCAGUGUGUACAUAUAAAUAUACACUCUAUAUAUACGCAGUGUGUGGUUGUGGGCAGAUGUGAGGGAGUGGCUCAUGUUUCUACGUUUAUUAUAAGGGGCUGUUUGGGUUUGGCAGCUUGGGACGGGUAAACAUGUAAAAUAAUGUCUCAUCAUGAGAAGUCUGAGUGAAGCUGAAGGCGGCCGUACGUACAGGAGCACACCGCGUCUAAACACAGCGUUCAUGUGAUCCUCAUGAAACACAUGAAGGACAAUAGGUUAGUUAUACUGGGCUCUAACUAAUAGUAUAAAUAUCGCAACAACUUUAGGGUGGACCGGGACAGGGAGGGCUGUGGCUCAGUGGUAGAGUCGUUUUGAUCCCCAGCUCCUGCAGCUACAUGUCAAUGUGUCAAUGUGUCCAUGUGCAAGACUCUUGCGUCAGUGGUGUGUGAAUGGGAACAGGGUGAAUGUGGAAAUAAAGCGAGGUAGACACUACAAAAUCAUCGGACCAAUUUUAGGCCCUCCCCACCCCCCCCCCUUCAGAUCAAGCAAAGGCCAGAUUGUCAGAUUUAUUUAUUCAAAAUACGACUACUGUUAACCUCCUACUAAAGGAAUUACCCGCCUUACCUGAUGAACCUGUUGAGAUUUGUGUCGCUGCUGCAAGCAUUUCCAGUUAUUGUAAGCGAUCCAUAAAAUUCAACUGAAUCUGUUGGAGAAUUUUGUUUGUUCAAAUGUCCAUGCAUGCAGAGUUUACCCCCCCCCC